UAUCUCAUUCAUUAUGUUUCAACCAGUAGACGUUUUGAUUUUGUUGGUAGCAUUACAGAGUAAUCUAACUGUGGAUAAACUGCAUUUAUAACUUACAAGACAGUUUUGUCUUAGGUUCUGCUAAAUUAUUAGUCACAAAUAUGACUAGGUUACCUCUUUUUCCAAGCGUUUUUAAAUUAUGUAUCUGUUUUGCUUUCUGAUUGAUUUAAUCCAGUUGUUUAAGUUAGCUAAAUACAGCUUGAAAAUACUGACUCAUCUUCAUCUUAUCACUGACAAAUGCAUUACUGCCCAAAAUAGCAUGUGCUUAUAACGGCAUUUGAUAGCAUGAAAUUCAGAACAUAUCUAUCAGAAUUCCUGAUAACAAGUGUUGACAAUUUUUAUUGCUUUCUAACAUUUUUCUUAAACAUCUUUUGAAUGUUUGAUUUGCACAGUCUGUUUCAGAGCUCAGUAACAAUGCUGGCACUGGAUCAGGUUAGCUGCUGAUCUGAUUGCCACUACAAUAUUCUGAAGCUGAUUGAGCACUAAAGCAAUUUCAGACUUUUCAG
This 545-nucleotide long non-coding RNA is filed under the name Gallus gallus (chicken). Lineage: Eukaryota; Metazoa; Chordata; Aves; Galliformes; Phasianidae. The record is from RNAcentral.